AGAGUUUGAUCCUGGCUCAGGAUGAACGCUAGCGGCAGGCUUAACACAUGCAAGUCGAGGGGCAGCGCGGAGUAGCAAUACUCUGGCGGCGACCGGCGGAAGGGUGCGUAACACGUGAGCAACUUGCCCGUAUCCGGGACAUAACCGAUGGAAACGUCGACUAAUUUCCCAUAACAACGAGGGUCACAUGACCCAUGUUUGAAAGAUUCGUCGGAUACGGAUGGGCUCGCGGGACAUUAGCUAGUUGGAGUGGUAACGGCACACCAAGGCGACGAUGUCUAGGGGUUCUGAGAGGAAGGUCCCCCACAUUGGAACUGAGACACGGUCCAAACUCCUACGGGAGGCAGCAGUGAGGAAUAUUGGUCAAUGGACGGAAGUCUGAACCAGCCAUGCCGCGUGAAGGAAUAAGGCCCUAUGGGUCGUAAACUUCUUUUGUGGUGGAGCAAUAAGUCGUACGUGUACGGCGAUGAGAGUACAUCACGAAUAAGCAUCGGCUAACUCCGUGCCAGCAGCCGCGGUAAUACGGAGGAUGCAAGCGUUAUCCAGAAUUAUUGGGCGUAAAGAGUGAGCAGGCGGCAAGACAAGUUUGAAGUGAAAGCGUGGGGCUUAACCCCAUACAGCUUUGAAAACUAUCUAGCUAGAGUACGAGAGAGGUAAACGGAAUUCCAUGUGUAGCGGUGAAAUGCGUAGAUAUAUGGAGGAACACCAGUGGCGAAGGCGGUUUACUAGCUCGAUACUGACGCUCAGUCACGAAAGCGUAGGGAGCAAAUAGGAUUAGAUAUCCUAGUAGUCUACGCCGUAAACGUUGAUAACUAAGUGUUCCUUUAUGGAGCGCUGAAGCUAACGCAUUAAGUUAUCCGCCUGGGGAGUACGAUCGCAAGAUUGAAACUUAAAGGAAUUGACGGGACCCCGCACAAGCAGUGGAGCAUGUGGUUUAAUUCGACGCUACGCGAAGAACCUUACCAGGGCUUGACAUACAAGUUAAUAGUAUAGAGAUAUAUGAAAGUGAGCUUAUACAGGUGGUGCAUGGUUGUCGUCAGCUCGUGUCGUGAGAUGUUUGGUUAAGUCCAGCAACGAGCGCAACCCUUGCCUUUAGUUACUAAUAUUAAGUUAAGGACUCUAAAGGGACUGCCGAUGUAAAUCGGAGGAAGGUGGGGAUGACGUCAAAUUAUCAUGCCCCUUACGUCCUGGGCGACACACGUGCUACAAUGGCCAAUACAAAGAGAUGCGAAGUAGUGAUAUGGAGCAAAUCUCAUAAAGUUGGUCUCAGUUCAGAUUGAAGUCUGCAACUCGACUUCAUGAAGGCGGAAUUGCUAGUAAUCGCAGAUCAGCCAUGCUGCGGUGAAUACGUUCCCGGGGUUUGCACACACCGCCCGUCAAG
This 1381-nucleotide ribosomal RNA is filed under the name uncultured bacterium. RNAcentral's name for it is "partial 16S ribosomal RNA". It matches the Rfam family "Bacterial small subunit ribosomal RNA". The record is from RNAcentral.